RNAcentral lists this ribosomal RNA (484 nucleotides) under uncultured bacterium. RNAcentral's name for it is "partial 16S ribosomal RNA". It matches the Rfam family "Bacterial small subunit ribosomal RNA", at positions 30 to 507 of the family's 1533-position model. The record is from RNAcentral.
AUUGAACGCUGGCGGAAUGCUUUACACAUGCAAGUCGAGCGGCAGCACGGGGGCAACCCUGGUGGCGAGCGGCGAACGGGUGAGUAAUACAUCGGAACAUGCCCAGUCGUGGGGGAUAACACUUCGAAAGAAGUGCUAAUACCGCAUACGUCCUGAGGGAGAAGGCGGGGGAUCGCAAGACCUCGCGCGAUUGGAGUGGCCGAUGUCAGAUUAGCUAGUUGGUAGGGUAAAGGCCUACCAAGGCAACGAUCUGUAGCUGGUCUGAGAGGAUGAUCAGCCACACUGGGACUGAGACACGGCCCAGACUCCUACGGGAGGCAGCAGUGGGGAAUUUUGGACAAUGGGGGCAACCCUGAUCCAGCCAUUCCGCGUGAGUGGAGAAGGCCUUCGGGUUGUAAAGCUCUUUCGGCAGGAACGAAACGGCGAGCUCUAACAUAGCUUGCUAAUGACGGUACCUGAAGAAGAAGCACCGGCUAACUACGUG